Long non-coding RNA from Nomascus leucogenys (northern white-cheeked gibbon), 1834 nucleotides. RefSeq lists it as uncharacterized. NCBI's taxonomy places the organism in Eukaryota, Metazoa, Chordata, Mammalia, Primates, Hylobatidae. The transcript is spliced from 3 exons. The record is from RefSeq and is a predicted model, not a curated record.
GCAUCACUGAGUUUUCUAUUUGCAAGUUGGCCGGAAGCAUUCAACAUGGUGACAUAUCCACAGAGAUGCUUGCCCUGAACUGGUGAAAGAUAUCCCAUCAUUAAGAAGACAGUAAGAGUGGAGUCAGACAGGAAUGCGAUGCGUUUCGUGUGUCCCGUAGACAGACUCAGGCUGCUUACACUGGCUGUGUCAGCUGGAUCUUCUUGACUAUUUGUAUCAGUGUCAGUUGCCGAUGAAGCUUCUUGUACAGGACUCCUACUUUCCCCUCCAUCCCAUGACAAGAGCAUCUUCUGUGGAUCUAAGAUACUGUACAGGACAACCUGCUUUUCAUAUUGUCUCUGUGAAUUUCCAAGACGACUGGGAUUUCCUUCCUCCUCUGCCACCCUGAACAGCAAGACCAAUACUUCCUGUGUUUCCUCCUCUUCAGCCUACUUGUGAAGACAAGGAUGAAGACCUCCAUGAUGAGCCAUCUCUACUUAAUGACUGCCUCACGUUGGCCGGCAACUUGUUCCAGGGGUAGUUGUGCUGGAUGUGGAACUCCACGUCUAUGUUCAUGAUGCCGCGGACAGGGCCGGCGGUGGGGCCGCGACCGCGACCCACACUACACCUCCCGCCUACCCGCCAUAGCCCGUCAACGGAGCCCCGCAGGAGGCCUGGAGCCUCAUGAUGCAGAAUGCCCAGGCUGCCUCUUGGCCUGGGCUCCUGACAGUUGAGUGCGGCCCGGGCCGACCAAGCACUAGAGCAGCAGCGAUGGGAGGCUGGGUCACCUGAGCAGCUCGGAAGGCCCUUUUUAACUUUAGACCUUCUGUUUGAUGAAGAGACACAUAGGUUAUCAACUUAGGCGAGGUUCAAAAGGCCCUUCACUCAUAUGGAAAUGAAAGGUAACCUCCUCCCACAAGGAAAAGGAUUAACUCCCCUGUUGAACCGGGAGACUUAGUCUUACUAAAAACUUAGAAGAAUCCCCCAACAAUCAAUUACAACCAAAAUGGAAAGGGCCCCUAUCAGGCAUUAUUAAGCACCGCCACUGCUGUUAAACUCCAAAGGUAAUUUUUUUUUUUUUUUUUUUUUUUAGAUGAAGUCUUACUCUAUCGCCCAGGCUGGAGUGCAAUGACUAGAUCUCGGCUCACUGCAACCUCCACCUUCUGGGUUCAAGCAAUCCUCCUGCCUCAGCCUCCUGAGUAGCUAGGAUUACAGACAUGUGCCACCAUGCUUGACAAAUUUUUUUUUUUUUUUUUUUUGUAUUUUUAGUAGAGACAAGGUUUCACCACGUUGGCCAGGCUGGUCUCGAACUCCUGACCUUGUGAAAUGCCUGCCUCAGUCUCCCAAAGUGCUGGGAUUACAGGUAUGAGCCACUGCCCAGCCUCAAAGUUUUUUUUUUUUUUUUUUUUUUUGAGACAGAGUCUCACUGUGUCCCCAGGCUGAAGUGCAGUGGCACGAUCUCAACUCACUGCAAGCUCCGCCUCCCAGGUUCACGCCAUUCUCCUGCCUCAGCCUCCUGAGUAGCUGGGACUACAGGCACCCGCCACCACGGCCGGCUAAUUUUUUUGUGUGUAUUUUUAGUAGAGACGGGGUAUCACCGUGUUAGCCAGGAUGGUCUCGAUCUCCUGAUCUCAUGAUCCGCCUGCCUCGGCCUCCCAAAGUAUUAGGAUUACAGGCGUGAGCCACCGCCCCCCGCCCUCAAAGAUUAUGAUUCCUCACAGAUGUCAGAGGAAGAUGCUGUGACCUAUACUUGCAAACUCCCAGAAGACUUAAAGCUAUUGUUUUACAAAUGCACAGAUAACUAUUAAUAACAUGAUGCUGUGGAUGAGCAUUAAAGUUUUUCUCUUACUCCUAA